UAGGGAAUAUUGGACAAUGGGCGCAAGCCUGAUCCAGCCAUGCCGCGUGAGUGAAGAAGGCCCUCGGGUUGUAAAGCUCUUUUGUCCGGAAAGAAAAGCUUUGGGUUAAUACCCCGAAGUCCUGACGGUACCGGAAGAAUAAGCACCGGCUAACUUCGUGCCAGCAGCCGCGGUAAUACGAAGGGUGCAAGCGUUACUCGGAAUUACUGGGCGUAAAGCGUGCGUAGGUGGUUCGUUAAGUCUGAUGUGAAAGCCCUGGGCUCAACCUGGGAAUUGCAUUGGAUACUGGCGGGCUAGAGUGCGGUAGAGGGCAGUGGAAUUCCGGUGUAGCAGUGAAAUGCGUAGAGAUCGGGAGGAACAUCUGUGGCGAAGGCGACUGCCUGGACCAGCACUGACACUGAGGCACGAAAGCGUGGGGAGCAAACAGG
This 428-nucleotide ribosomal RNA is filed under the name Acidobacteriota bacterium. RNAcentral's name for it is "Acidobacteria bacterium partial 16S ribosomal RNA". It matches the Rfam family "Bacterial small subunit ribosomal RNA", at positions 355 to 776 of the family's 1533-position model. The record is from RNAcentral. Lineage: Bacteria; Pseudomonadati; Acidobacteriota.